This 465-nucleotide ribosomal RNA is filed under the name uncultured bacterium. Its description in RNAcentral is "partial 16S ribosomal RNA". It matches the Rfam family "Bacterial small subunit ribosomal RNA", at positions 28 to 507 of the family's 1533-position model. The record is from RNAcentral.
GACGAACGCUGGCGGCGUGCUUAACACAUGCAAGUCGAACGGAAAGGCCCCUUUGGGGGUCCUCGAGUGGCGAACGGGUGCGUAACACGUGAGUAACCUGCCCUUGACUUCGGGAUAACUUCAGGAAACUGGGGCUAAUACCGGAUAGGAAUCCUUGCUGCAUGGUGGGGGUUGGAAAGCUUCGGCGGUUUUGGAUGGACUCGCGGCUUAUCAGCUUGUUGGUGCGGUAGUGGCUUACCAAGGCUUUGACGGGUAGCCGGCCUGAGGGGGCGACCGGCCACAUUGGGACUGAGGUACGGCACAGACUCCGACGGGAGGCAGCAGUGGGGAAUCUUGCACGAUGGGCGGCAGGCGGAUGCAGAAAGGCCGCGGGCGGGAUGACGGUCUUCGGGUUGUAAACCGCUUUCAGCAGGGGCGAAGCUUGUGGUGACGGUACCUGCAGAAGAAGCACCGGCUAACUACGUG